UUUCCAUAAUCUGAAAACUGAUAAAUUUAAGGUCUUGCAUGAAGUCCAGUACACCGCUUAAUUCUAUAAUAUUAAUCACAGACAAUACAGGGACACUGUUGCUAACUUUAUUCUUCUGAGUCCUUACUGUAAAAUGCUACAGCAGUGAAUGCAGAGAAAUAAAAUAGUUCUGUAAUAAUGAUGGAACUGAAGAAGGUCAUGUAAUGCAAACACUUGUGAAAUCAGUAGAAUUAUGUAUUUCUUGCCAAGGCUUGUCUUCUGAGACUGUGGUUGUUUACAGGAGCUCUAAUACAGAAGCCAUGAAGAAAGAUGAUAUGAGGAGGCUAAUUCUGCAAUCUUACUGAGGUGAAUCAGGACUGAGCAGUGAAUGCAUUCAUUUUCAUGAGGGAGAAGCAAAAGCAUAUAAAGUAGAGGAGAUGAAGUGAGCAUGUCAGAAGAGCACCUUUAUACUGUUCACUACUCAAUGGCAGGUUUGAUGAGAGCAGGCAAAAAUACUCAGAAUUCAAUAGAUGUCAAGCAAUGAAAAUGCCUCGUGCACUUUCAAUAUCACCAUGUUUUAUAGAUGAAUGAAAGAAACUGAACUUCAGUGUGCACAGGGCAUAAAAACCUUUGUUUUGCCAUUCUGCAGGUAUUCUACAAGUGAGGUUAAAAUGCUGGAGUUGCUACCUGUGAGGGGUACAGGGCAUAGUUUUGUCU
Long non-coding RNA from Neopsephotus bourkii (Bourke's parrot), 696 nucleotides. RefSeq lists it as uncharacterized. The transcript is spliced from 4 exons. Lineage: Eukaryota; Metazoa; Chordata; Aves; Psittaciformes; Psittacidae. The record is from RefSeq and is a predicted model, not a curated record.